UACGUAGGGUGCGAGCGUUAAUCGGAAUUACUGGGCGUAAAGGGUGCGCAGGCGGUUAUAUAAGGCAGAUGGGAAAUCCCCGGGCUCAACCUGGGAACUGCGUUUGUGACUGUAUGACUAGAGUACGGUAGAGAGGGGUGGAAUUCCUGGUGUAGCAGUGAAAUGCGUAGAUAUCAGGAGGAACACCGGUGGCGAAGGCGGGUCUCUGGGCCGAUACUGACGCUGAGGAGCGAAAGCGUGGGGAGCGAACAGG
Molecule: ribosomal RNA, 253 nt
Filed under: uncultured bacterium
Lineage: Bacteria
Description: partial 16S ribosomal RNA
Rfam family: Bacterial small subunit ribosomal RNA
Source: RNAcentral